GGGUCGUUAGCUCAGUCACUUAGGUUCAAAUCAACUACUGCAGUUGGCUUUUAACCCAUUGGUCGAAGGUUCGAAUCCUUCACGACCCACCA
Molecule: transfer RNA, 92 nt
Filed under: Shewanella metallivivens
Lineage: Bacteria; Pseudomonadati; Pseudomonadota; Gammaproteobacteria; Alteromonadales; Shewanellaceae
Description: tRNA-Lys
Rfam family: tRNA
About the family: Transfer RNA (tRNA) molecules are approximately 80 nucleotides in length.
Source: RNAcentral